This 2146-nucleotide ribosomal RNA is filed under the name Haplomesus cf. insignis. RNAcentral describes it as "SSU rRNA". It matches the Rfam family "Eukaryotic small subunit ribosomal RNA". Lineage: Eukaryota; Metazoa; Arthropoda; Malacostraca; Isopoda; Ischnomesidae. The record is from RNAcentral.
CAUAUGCUUGUCUCAAGAUUAAGCCAUGCAUGUCUGAGUACAGACCGAUCUAAGGUGAAACCGCGGAAUGGCUCAUUAAAUCAGUCAUAAUUCCUUGGAUAGUGAAAAACUUCCUCGGAUAACUGUGGAAAAUCCAGAGCUAAUACGUGCAACUGAGCUGCGACCUUGGCGCAAGCCUUGGGAGGAGCGCAUUUAUUAGAUUCAAAACUGAUCGUCGUACUCCUUCGGGAUACGUCGUUUGUCAAAUGUUUGAUGACUCCGGAUAACUUAGCCGAGCGCUAGGGUCUUUGUACCUGCGCCGUAUCUUUCAAGUGACUGCCUUAUCAGCUUUCGAUUGUAGGUUAAAUGCCUACAAUGGCUGUAACGGGUAACGGGGAAUCAGGGUUCGAUUCCGGAGAGGGAGCCUGAGAAACGGCUACCACAUCUAAGGAAGGCAGCAGGCACGUAAAUUACCCACUCCCAGCUCGGGGAGGUAGUGACGAAAAAUAACGAUGCGAGACUCUUCCGAGGCCUCGCAAUCGGAAUGAGUCCAUUUUAAAUCCUUGGACGAGGAUCCAUUGGAGGGCAAGUCUGGUGCCAGCAGCCGCGGUAAUUCCAGCUCCAAUAGCGUAUAUUAAAGUUGCUGCGGUUAAAAAGCUCGUAGUUGGAUCCCCUAGAUCCAAUUCGUGGGCGAGUCGCUCGUUGUGUUAGCUUUUCGCGAUGUUCCCUCGAUGAGGUUUCUCGGCAACUAGACCCUUCUAGGCUUUAGCGUAUAUAUCUCGAUUUCGGUCGUUUUUAUGCGCGGGCUAUCACGGGGGGGAUUCUAUCACCGGUUACCGAUUCUUGAUACUUGCGAAUCGUGGAGCUUCGAGUAUUGCUCGUCCGCGUUUGGUACAAUACCAAUAUUGUUGGCUCGCUCGGAGUGCUCUUUACCGAGUGUUCCGGGGUGGCCGACACGUUCACUUUGAAAAAAUUAGAGUGCUUAAAGCAGGCUUAUAUAAGAGCAUGCAUGCUUGUGCAUGGAAUGAAGUAACAGGACCUCGAUUCUGUUUCUUUUUAUCGGUUUUAUUGAACCGAGGUAAUGAUUAAAAGGGACAGACGGUGGCAUUAGUAUUGCGGGGCUAGAGGUGAAAUUCUUGGACCCUCGCAAGACUAACUACUGCGAAAGCAUUUGCCAAGAAUGUUUUCAUUAAUCAAGAACGAAAGUUAGAGGAUCGAAGGCGAUCAGAUACCGCCCUAGUUCUAACCCUAAACUAUGCUAACUAGCGAUCCGCCGGAGUCAUUCCCACGACCCGGCGGGAAGCCCUAAGGGAAACCAAAGUAUUUGAGUUCCGGGGGAAGUAUGGUUGCAAAUCUGAAACUUAAAGGAAUUGACGGAAGGGCACCACCAGGAGUGGAGCCUGCGGCUUAAUUUGACUCAACACGGGAAACCUCACCAGGCCCGGACAUUAUAAGGAUUGACAGAUUGAGAGCUCUUUCUCGAAUUAAUGGGUGGUGGUGCAUGGCCGUUCUUAGUUGGUGGAGUGAUCUGUCUGGUUGAUUCCGAUAACGAACGAGACUCUACCUUACUAACUAGUCGGCGGAUCGUAACCCUGAGCUGGUCGGUUUGUAUAGGGGAGUUUAGCCUAGAAUUUGUUUCGUUCUUUUAACGCUUAGGGGAGGCGCGAGGUCAACGUACCGAGCUCUCUUACGGCGUCAUAGAAUUGUGCGAGUUCGAAGCGGCUUUCCGAUUACUGCCGCUACUGGGGGCGUCCGUCGCAAUAUAUCUUCUUAGAAGGAUCAGCGGCGUCUAGUCGCACGAGAAAGAGCAAUAACAGGUCUGUGAUGCCCUUAGAUGUUCUGGGCCGCACGCGCGCUACAAUGUAGGGCUCAGCGUGAUUUUCCUCUCCGAAAGGAGCGGGUAACCCCAUGAAUCCCGUACUUGAAAGGGAUUGGGGAUUGCAAAUAUUUCCCAUGAACGAGGAAUUCCCAGUAAGCGCGAGUCAUUAACUCGCGUUGAUUACGUCCCUGCCCUUUGUACACACCGCCCGUCGCUACUACCGAUUGAAUGAUUCAGUGAGGGCAUCGGACUGGCCCUUCGGUUUAGUAACAUAGACCUUAGGCUGACGGAAAGAUGUCCGAACUUGAUCAUUUAGAGGAAGUAAAAGUCGUAACAAGGUUUCCGUAG